This is a long non-coding RNA of Eutrema salsugineum, 1933 nucleotides long. RefSeq lists it as uncharacterized. The record is from RefSeq and is a predicted model, not a curated record. The transcript has 3 exons. NCBI's taxonomy places the organism in Eukaryota, Viridiplantae, Streptophyta, Magnoliopsida, Brassicales, Brassicaceae.
UAGGUUGUAGUUCUGAAAAUCUUUAAGUCUUUAAUUCCUUAAAUGUCUUUAACGUAAUUAUAUUGUUUGGUUGGUGAGGUUUAAUGGGGAGACAAGCAAGGAUAUUGAGAUGCACGAAGACAGAAGGUCAGUGAUGGGAUUUGUUUUUAAUGAAUCUGCGAAAAGGUUAGUCAGGGUUUAGUCAGAUCCACUCGCAGAUGUCCUCUUCCUCCCAUUUUUGAACGUUACUGCUGUUUCACUCAUUUUCUCGUUUCACAAUUAAACACCCACUACACCCGCAGCUGAUUUUUUUUCACCCUAUAAAUCCAGCCUCUUCGUAUUGGUGUUCUCUCGAAAUCUUGAAUUCUCUCAGAUAAUACACCAUAUACUCUUCAGCUUCUGUUCGCGUUGAGAAAUCUCGAUGGUGAUUUCUGCAAUGAUGAGAUUGUUUCCAGGUUGGUUUACUUCUGGGUGUUCAAUCAGACGCACAAAUCUCUGCUAAUAUGUCACUUUCUUGUUCUUUCUCAGAGAUGAGCCUUUUCCUGAAUUCUGCAGAUUCUUCAUCAGAUACGAACAUGGGAUCUCGGUUUGUGACUUUUUAUAUUCUUUAACAGCAAUCUUUUAGAUUUUUUGACAGAUUUUUAUCCUUUUAAAAAAAAAAACGGUGACCCUUCUGUAGAUGGUUCAUCAGAAGUGAAUGUUGUCUAUGAGUUUGUAAUCUUUUGGAUUCUUUAACAUCAAUCUUGCAAAUUGAUUUCUGGUUUGCAUCUUCAUGUUAUAGAACUUCAAUACGAUUUUAACUCUUUUAUUGGUAUAUACUACAGAUAUAUGUGUGAUGAACUGAUUUUCCUGGCUUUAUCAAAGAUCAAUGAUGAACAUGAUGUGAGUGGUCUUGAUGUUGAUGGGAUUUUAAUUUGAAUACCAUUGAUUUCUCGCUUAAUAACUUUAAAAGGAAACCUGUUUAGUCUUGGUUUGAUGAUUCCUCCAUAGUGCUUGAUCCAUCCUGCUAUCUUUUCUACGUUUUCUUCUGCUUCUGACAUAUAUAUACAUACAACAAUUGCUUUUUAUCAUAUUUCAGUUUCAGUUCUUUGAUUGAAAGCAAUCGAUUCACCGUGAAUGGUACAAAGAGUAACGAAAGUAGAGGUUUGAUUAACAGAGAAGGAUACAUGAAAAGCAGAGAGGCUUGACGAACACAUGAGCUACUCUUGAGUCUUUCAUCUGUAAUGUCUAAAAGAAUUGUCCAGUUCUUCUUCAUCAAACAAGGUUUAGCGAGAACCACGUCGGCGGAGAUGUAGGAGGAAUUGAGGAAAAGGAAAGUGAUGCAGUCGCUGAGGAGUAGGCAGUGAAAGUAGGAGAUGCGCUGAAGCAUCUACAGUGGAACAUGGUAAUGGGAAUCAAGUGGACUUCAGCGACGCCUUUCAGAAAGGGCCCGGAGAGUUCAAUAGCUCAUUAUUAGUUUGCAGCAGAGUAUGACGAUAUACAGAUUGUUAUUCAUGUAGGAGUGUAUCUAUCUUCCCUUUGAUUUCCUUUUUCUAUAAUGCUCCGGGAUUCUUCUGUUGCUGUCCAAUUAACGAUUUUCUGAAUACCCUUUUUCGACUUUGUUAUGUAAGUUCAAAUUUCAGAUAUAUGGAUUCGAAUGAAUUGAUGCAGCUCCUGAGCUCUUGGAUUGGUCAAAUGAGUUUCUGUUCCUUAUAUAUUUAAUUCUCAUGGAGAGGCUUUAAUUUCAUUAGUGCUUUAGUGCUUAUUGGAAUUCAGCGAUCAAAGACAAUGUGAUGUUGCCAAGAGCCUGUCUUUCGUAUCAAUACCUCAAAACGUGCUUAGAUCAAGUGCAGUUAGUGCUCAUUGCGAUUUGAUUCUCCAAGCAAUAUCUGAGUUUUCCAGUUGAUUAUUUAUGUAUACAGUAUAUCACGGAUUCUUAAGUCAUAUGUAUUGGAGAAAAUAUCAUCGUAUAUUU